GCGGCCGGGAUGGGCAGCGGGUAAGUAGGAACGGGGUGGCGCCCCACACCCUCCCCUGCUUGUUUGGGGUGCGGCGAGGGGAGGUGCGCCGGUGCAGGGGUUCGCUGGGCUGCGGUUGUGGGUUCCCGGUGGGCGGCCGGAAACUGAGACAGGAAGCCUUGGGGUGGGGUGGGUGUGUGUGUCUGUGUCUGUCUGGUGGGGGGGCUUGGCAGGCGACGCCAAGCUCUCAAGGGCUGGGACAGGUCCUUCGUUCGCGGAGGGCACUAGUCAAGAGUACUGGAACGCGGAGGUGGCCGAGCCACACUCAGGACCGUGGGCGCCCCGGCCGCGGGGCCGCCUUGGUCCGCGCCCCCCCAGCCCCCGCGUGCUUAGCGCCGCAGCGCAGCGCCUUCGGCUGGUUUCUCCCGCCCCUGGAUGGUCCCUGUUCCCUCGGCUUCUGUCUACCACCCACCUGGAUGCCUGCAGCCGCUGGCCUCUCUCCCCCCGGGUGCUCAAAACCAGCAGCGCCCCGGAGAGGAGAAAGAGGGUCCCCCGUCCUUUGGGGCCGCGCGGGACCCGGGUGCGGGGGAUAGGCCCCCCACCAUCCAUUUCCCAAAAGUCGCCGCAGAUGUGCGGCCACCGGGAGUCACGUAGUGUGCGGCGAGCGUCGGAGCUCGGAGAGGCCUGGGCGGGGGUGACCGGGCGAAGCCAGAGUGCAGAGGCUUCUCACGAAAGGGGAAGCUCCUUGCGGGGGUGCAGCUUUCGGCCGAAAUUUAGCUCCGCAGGAGCUUGGGAUGUUUGCUGUUCUCCCCUCGCCUUUAGUUUCAUUUAUUCUCUUCCAAAGAGCAUGUUCCUUCCCCGGAUGUUGGGUGUUUUCCAUCCUCCCUCAAAAAGGAUACGCCGGGAAAGGAACAUGCAGAUCGUUGAACAUUCUUUGGUUGGAGUCUGAGGAAGGCUCAUCUUGACGCUAAGGAGACUCGCGUUUUCGGGGAGUGUAAAAUUUGCAAAAUCAGGAUGUUUCCCCGCCCCAUCUCUCUUGAAGACAACUCUCUCACUCCCCGACCCCCGAUACCAGCUGUCUGCUGCGCCAAAGCUUGAGGAGCCCAGGCCUGGAGUCUUUGGCGGUUAAGAGUACGUAGAGAGAUUUCACAAGAUUCAGCUGUGAUGGUGGUGCUUGGGGGCGAGAGAGAAAGGACUAGAAGUCCUGAGGCGGAAGGGAGUGGCUUUCGAUUGAAACAAAGCUCGAGAUGACCCCAGAGGGGAAGCCUCUGUGGCACCACCCCUUCUCUUUUCUGUCCCAUUCCAGCUUCUAGUCCUCCCUGGUGCUUGUAGUUAACAGUACUGUUUUAGACUUAAACAUUUUGCUAAGUGAGAUCGUGAAGUGUACUCGCCACAUGCAAGCAACAACAACAAGGGGGUGUGCGUGUGAAAGAAAACUUUUGGAGGUGAUGUGUUUUUGUGGCAUAGCUUGUGGUUUUGCCAGUGUAUGCUGAUCUCCAAACUGAUGAAGUUGCUUAUGGUAAAUAUUUAUGACUUGUUUGUGUGUCCGUCAUACCUCAAUAAAAUGGUUUUAAAAAAAAAAAGCUACCUUUGGAGUUCGUGCUGUGUUGCAGUGGGUUAAGAUUGGCAUUGCAGUGGCUUGAGUUGCUGGGGAAGCAUGGAUUUGAUCCCAUGUGGGCACAGUGGGGUAAAGGAUCUGAGGGUGCCCCAGCUGUGGCUGAGAUUCAGUCUCUGGCCUGGGAACUUCCAUAUGCAGUGGAUGCAGCCAUUAAAAAAAAGUUACAUCCAGUUUUCUAAAAACUUUCUGUAUCAAUAGUUUACAGUGUAAAUCAUAGUUACAGAAAUGAAACUUGAGACCAUAUUACUAUUUCAUUUAGAAACUUUAUUAAAAGGACUGAUUUUUCUCAGACAAGUUAUAUCCAAUGCCUUUUUUUUUUUAAUUGAAGUCUGGUUGAUUUCCAAUGUUGUGUUUCUGGUAUGCAGCAAGUAAUUUAUUUAUAAAAACAGACACAUAAGUACACAUACGUAUACAUCCCACCAUCCUUUUUCAUAUUCUUCUCCAAUAUGUUUUUUCUUUUUUAAACUGGGAUAUUGAAUGUAAUUCCCUGAGCUAAACAGUAGGAUCUUAUUAUCUGUUUUAUGCAACUUUGUUGUUUAUCUAUUUUACAUGUAGUCCUCUGUAUCUGCUAAUCCCAAACUCCUAAUGCGUCCCUUCUCCACCCCCUUUCUCCUCUGGUAACCAUAAAUUUUCUAGGUUUGUGAGUCUGUUUCUGUUUUGCAAAUAAGGUCAUUUGUGUCAUUAAUUUAGUUUCCACAUGGCCGAGUAGUAUUCCAUAGGUAUGCACUAUGUCCUGUGUGAAUUCAUCUGUCAGUGGCCAUUUACUUUAUUUCCAGGUCUUGGUUAUUGCAGAUGGUGCUGCUAUGAACACUGGGGUGCAUUAUCUUUUCGAAUCGGAGUUUUCUUCAGAUAUGCGCCCAGGUGUGGGGUUGCUGCAUCAAAUGGUGACUCCACUUUUAGUUUUUCAAGGGACAUCCAUACCGUUGUUCUCCUUAGUGGUUGUACUAGUUUACAUUUCCAUCAGAAGUUCCAUCCAAUCUUAAUGGGACUAUUAGGCAUUAAAUAUAAGUUUUGAAAUUAGACCUGCAAAUUCCAACACUGCCUCGCACUAGCUGUAGGACUUCUGAGUAAAUCGAAUUGAACGACCCUCUCCCCCAGCAGGUGUUAUCACUUGAUACACGCGGGUAAUAAAUAUCUUGGCAAUGAGGGUUAAAAGGCACCACGUGUGGGGUCUCAGGCACACUCAAUAGUGAUUCCUUCAUUGAAGAGGAGCUAUGAGCCCAACCCUUGAUCCAGGGCAGUGUUGAGAUCUCAGUGCCUCCCGCGGCCCUCCCUGCACUGGAGGUGGGUGAGGGUGUUGGUUCCAGACCAAAGAUCCCGCCGGGGAGGGAGCCUCUGCCUCCUCUUGCCUUCGCACCUCGGUGGCUGGGGUGACUCGUUCUCCCCGGCGGCCUCUUGAGGAUGAGGUGCAGUCUCUUCCCAGGCUCCACGAGUUUUCGGGGCUCAAAGAAACACCAGCAGCGUCCCGGGAGGAGAAAGAGGGUCCCCCGUCCUUUGGGGCCGCGCGGGACCCGGCUGCGGGGGCUGGACUCCCCGCUACCCAUUUCCGAAAAGUCGCCGCAGAUUUUCGGCCACCAGAAGCCGCCUAGUGCAAGGCAAGCGUCGGAGUUUGGAGAGGCCUGGGCGGGUGUGACCGGGUGGUGCAGAGGCUUCUCAAGAAAGGGGCAGCUUUUUUGCGGGGGGUGUGUGUGUGGGGGAAGCUUUCGUCCGAAAUUUAGCUCCGCUGGGGCUUGGGAUAUUUGCUUUUCCUCCCCAACGUCUGCUUUAUUCUCUUCCAAAGAGCAUGUUCUUUUGCCGGAUUCUGGGCAUUUUCCGACCUCGUCAAAAAGGAUAUGCCGGGAAAGGAACAUGCAGAUAGUUUAACAUUCUUUGGUUGGAGUCUGAGGAAGUGUCACCUUGACGCUAAGGAGACUUGGCGCUUUCAGGGAGUGUAAAACUUGCAAAAUUAAGAUCCCCCCCUCCGUCUUUCCUAAAGACAACUUUCUCUUCCCCUGCCCCAGCUUUCUUCAGCAUAAAGCCUUGAUGAGCCCUAGGCUGGAAUCACUGGAAGUUAAGGAGUCUGGGGGGGGGGGAUUUGAAAAGUUGCAGCUGUAAUGGAGGUGCUGGGCAGUGGCGGGGGGGGGGGGGGGGGGAGAAGAGAAAGAACUAGAAAGUCCUGGAAGUGGGGCGGGAGUGGCUUUAGAUUGAAGCAAAGCUCAGGAUGACCCCAGGGGAGAAGCCUUUGUCGUGUCCCCCCCCUCCCCCCGCCCCCGCGGCUUUCCUUUCUCUCCCAUUCCUGCUUCCAGUCCUCACUCAGGCUUGUAGUUAACAGUAGUAUUUUUAGAUUUAAAAUUUUGCCAAGUGAGAUUUUUCCUUAAGUGUACGUGUUACAUGCAAAAAAAUAUAUAAAUUACAUAUAUAUGAGGGGGUGAGAGGAAACUUUAGGAGGUGAUGUAUUUGUUUGCAUAGCUUGUGGUUUUGCCACUGUAUGCUUCUCUCCAACCUGAUGAAGUUGCUUAUAUUGAAUAUUUAUGGCUUGUUUGUGUGUCAGUCAUACCUCAAUAAAAUGGUUUUUAAAAAA
Molecule: RNA transcript, 4157 nt
Organism: Sus scrofa (pig)
Lineage: Eukaryota; Metazoa; Chordata; Mammalia; Artiodactyla; Suidae
Source: RefSeq, a predicted model, not a curated record